Molecule: non-coding RNA, 878 nt
Filed under: Fusarium citri
Lineage: Eukaryota; Fungi; Ascomycota; Sordariomycetes; Hypocreales; Nectriaceae
Description: sequence contains 28S rRNA gene
Rfam family: Eukaryotic large subunit ribosomal RNA
Source: RNAcentral
AUGCAGAGAGACAACAGGGAUUGCCCUAGUAACGGCGAGUGAAGCGGCAACAGCUCAAAUUUGAAAUCUGGCUCUCGGGCCCGAGUUGUAAUUUGUAGAGGAUACUUUUGAUGCGGUGCCUUCCGAGUUCCCUGGAACGGGACGCCAUAGAGGGUGAGAGCCCCGUCUGGUUGGAUGCCAAAUCUCUGUAAAGUUCCUUCAACGAGUCGAGUAGUUUGGGAAUGCUGCUCUAAAUGGGAGGUAUAUGUCUUCUAAAGCUAAAUACCGGCCAGAGACCGAUAGCGCACAAGUAGAGUGAUCGAAAGAUGAAAAGCACUUUGAAAAGAGAGUUAAAAAGUACGUGAAAUUGUUGAAAGGGAAGCGUUUAUGACCAGACUUGGGCUUGGUUAAUCAUCUGGGGUUCUCCCCAGUGCACUUUUCCAGUCCAGGCCAGCAUCAGUUUUCCCCGGGGGAUAAAGGCGGCGGGAAUGUGGCUCUCUUCGGGGAGUGUUAUAGCCCGUCGUGUAAUACCCUGGGGGGGACUGAGGUUCGCGCAUCUGCAAGGAUGCUGGCGUAAUGGUCAUCAACGACCCGUCUUGAAACACGGACCAAGGAGUCGUCUUCGUAUGCGAGUGUUCGGGUGUCAAACCCCUACGCGUAAUGAAAGUGAACGCAGGUGAGAGCUUCGGCGCAUCAUCGACCGAUCCUGAUGUUCUCGGAUGGAUUUGAGUAAGAGCAUACGGGGCCGGACCCGAAAGAAGGUGAACUAUGCCUGUAUAGGGUGAAGCCAGAGGAAACUCUGGUGGAGGCUCGCAGCGGUUCUGACGUGCAAAUCGAUCGUCAAAUAUGGGCAUGGGGGCGAAAGACUAAUCGAACCUUCUAGUAGCUGGAUUCCGCCG